AUUGAACGCUGGCGGCAGGCCUAACACAUGCAAGUCGAGCGGAGCGGCGGACGGGUGAGUAAUGCCUAGGAAUCUGCCUGGUCGUGGGGGAUAACGUCCGGAAACGGGCGCUAAUCCCGCAUACUAUCAGAUGAGCCUAGGUCGGAUUAGCUAGUUGGUGGGGUAAAGGCCUACCAAGGCGCCGAUCCGCAACUGGUCUGAGAGGAUGAUCAGUCACACUGGAACUGGGAAACGGUCCAGGCUCCUACGGGAGGCAGAAGUGGGGAAUGUGGGAAAAUGGGCGAAAGCCUGAUCCAGCAAUGCCGCGUGUGUGAAGAAGGUCUUCGGAUUGUAAAGCACUUUAAGUUGGGAGGCGUUAGCAGCAGAAUAAGCACCGGCUAACUACGUGCCAGCAGCCGCGGUAAUUC
RNAcentral lists this ribosomal RNA (407 nucleotides) under uncultured bacterium. RNAcentral describes it as "partial 16S ribosomal RNA". It matches the Rfam family "Bacterial small subunit ribosomal RNA", at positions 30 to 526 of the family's 1533-position model. The record is from RNAcentral.